CUCCGUAGGUGAACCUGCGGAGGGNUCANUACACAAAUAUGAAGGCGGGCUGGAACCUCUCGGGGUUACAGCCUUGCUGAAUUAUUCACCCUUGUCUUUUGCGUACUUCUUGUUUCCUUGGUGGGUUCGCCCACCACUAGGACAAACAUAAACCUUUUGUAAUUGCAAUCAGCGUCAGUAACAAAUUAAUAAUUACAACUUUCAACAACGGAUCUCUUGGUUCUGGCAUCGAUGAAGAACGCAGCGAAAUGCGAUAAGUAGUGUGAAUUGCAGAAUUCAGUGAAUCAUCGAAUCUUUGAACGCACAUUGCGCCCUUUGGUAUUCCAAAGGGCAUGCCUGUUCGAGCGUCAUUUGUACCCUCAAGCUUUGCUUGGUGUUAGGCGUCUUGUCUCUAGCUUUGCUGGAGACUCGCCUUAAAGUAAUUGGCAGCCGGCCUACUGGUUUCGGAGCGCAGCACAAGUCGCACUCUCUAUCAGCAAAGGUCUAGCAUCCAUUAAGCCUUUUUUUCAACUUUUGACCUCGGAUCAGGUAGGGAUACCCGCUGAACUUAAGCAUAUCA
This 559-nucleotide ribosomal RNA is filed under the name uncultured fungus. RNAcentral describes it as "eukaryotic LSU rRNA". The stretch from base 197 to 350 matches the Rfam family "5.8S ribosomal RNA". Lineage: Eukaryota; Fungi. The record is from RNAcentral.